This is a long non-coding RNA of Salvia miltiorrhiza (redroot sage), 487 nucleotides long. RefSeq lists it as uncharacterized. The transcript has 2 exons. The record is from RefSeq and is a predicted model, not a curated record. NCBI's taxonomy places the organism in Eukaryota, Viridiplantae, Streptophyta, Magnoliopsida, Lamiales, Lamiaceae.
GCUGGAGUCAGAUUUUCGCAGAAAAUCAAGUUCCGGCAGUUUCGGGAGAACGGCCAUAACUUCCUCCACAAAACUCCGAUUCAGGCGAAACAGGUGGCCACGGAAAGCUCUCUCGAAGGCGAAGAAGUCGUAUUUCUAGGCAAAAUACGAUUUGAGGACGUUUGAGGCUUCAAACGAAGGCUUGAAGCUGACUGGUCUGUUCAGCUGCGAGUUUGACGAAAACUUUAGAAAUUUCAAGAGUUCAUAUAGGGAUGCGUUGGUAGAAAUCAUCAAAGGGAGUUAUCAAUUUCAAGAAUUAGUUUUGCAGUUAUGGAGUUGAGGUGGCCAUGGAAGUUGAGAAUGACUAGAGAUUUAGUUUUCCCAUAGAAUUUAAGUUGAACUUGUUGAGUUUUAGUUUAUCGUUCUUAUUUUAUGUUACUACUUUAGUAUUGGCAAAUUGAUUUUUAAAUUAGUUUAAAUUAUGAAAGUCAAGAAAUUUUAUUUUUAA